RNAcentral lists this ribosomal RNA (1225 nucleotides) under Salmonella enterica. RNAcentral's name for it is "partial 23S ribosomal RNA". It matches the Rfam family "Bacterial large subunit ribosomal RNA", at positions 1105 to 2313 of the family's 2925-position model. The record is from RNAcentral. RNAcentral also lists the same sequence under 1 other name. Lineage: Bacteria; Pseudomonadati; Pseudomonadota; Gammaproteobacteria; Enterobacterales; Enterobacteriaceae.
CUUAGAAGCAGCCAUCAUUUAAAGAAAGCGUAAUAGCUCACUGGUCGAGUCGGCCUGCGCGGAAGAUGUAACGGGGCUAAACCAUGCACCGAAGCUGCGGCAGCGACACUGUGUGUUGUUGGGUAGGGGAGCGUUCUGUAAGCCUGUGAAGGUGUGUCGUGAGGCAUGCUGGAGGUAUCAGAAGUGCGAAUGCUGACAUAAGUAACGAUAAAGCGGGUGAAAAGCCCGCUCGCCGGAAGACCAAGGGUUCCUGUCCAACGUUAAUCGGGGCAGGGUGAGUCGACCCCUAAGGCGAGGCCGAAAGGCGUAGUCGAUGGGAAACGGGUUAAUAUUCCCGUACUUGGUGUUACUGCGAAGGGGGGACGGAGAAGGCUAUGUUGGCCGGGCGACGGUUGUCCCGGUUUAAGCGUGUAGGUGUGUGUUCCAGGUAAAUCCGGUUCACUUUAACACUGAGGCGUGACGACGAGGCACUACGGUGCUGAAGCAACAAAUGCCCUGCUUCCAGGAAAAGCCUCUAAGCAUCAGGUAACAUCAAAUCGUACCCCAAACCGACACAGGUGGUCAGGUAGAGAAUACCAAGGCGCUUGAGAGAACUCGGGUGAAGGAACUAGGCAAAAUGGUGCCGUAACUUCGGGAGAAGGCACGCUGACACGUAGGUGAAGUGAUUUACUCAUGGAGCUGAAGUCAGUCGAAGAUACCAGCUGGCUGCAACUGUUUAUUAAAAACACAGCACUGUGCAAACACGAAAGUGGACGUAUACGGUGUGACGCCUGCCCGGUGCCGGAAGGUUAAUUGAUGGGGUCAGCGCAAGCGAAGCUCCUGAUCGAAGCCCCGGUAAACGGCGGCCGUAACUAUAACGGUCCUAAGGUAGCGAAAUUCCUUGUCGGGUAAGUUCCGACCUGCACGAAUGGCGUAAUGAUGGCCAGGCUGUCUCCACCCGAGACUCAGUGAAAUUGAACUCGCUGUGAAGAUGCAGUGUACCCGCGGCAAGACGGAAAGACCCCGUGAACCUUUACUAUAGCUUGACACUGAACAUUGAGCCUUGAUGUGUAGGAUAGGUGGGAGGCUUUGAAGUGUGGACGCCAGUCUGCAUGGAGCCGACCUUGAAAUACCACCCUUUAAUGUUUGAUGUUCUAACGUGGACCCGUUACCCGGGUUGCGGACAGUGUCUGGUGGGUAGUUUGACUGGGGCGGUCUCCUCCUAAAGAGUAACGGAGGAGCACGA